Rhipicephalus sanguineus (brown dog tick) is the source of this 555-nucleotide long non-coding RNA. RefSeq lists it as uncharacterized. The transcript has 3 exons. Lineage: Eukaryota; Metazoa; Arthropoda; Arachnida; Ixodida; Ixodidae. The record is from RefSeq and is a predicted model, not a curated record.
UUCGCCGCUUCCCCCGACCGGUGUCGGCUGUGUUCCACGUGUGCACGGGAUCGCGCGUUCGUCUCUCGUCUCUGUACCGACGACAAUGACCGCGAGUCGUGCAGCUUUCGUUUCGACAGCGUAGUCCGUGAACGGGUGUCCCGUAGCGACUUUGUCGUGACCGCCUUUGCUUGAUUGACGGACGUCGAGGGCGAAGCAGAGCGAAGAUGCUGCAAUGCGCUGCUUUGCCACAACAAGAGCAACACAGUAGGAUGACUAAAGGACGUAACACUUCUGGACGGGAAUUAUAUGUUGAAGAAUUGUUUUGAAAUGUACAAUAACAAAGAUAUUGGCAUUCUCCUUGCACCAUCAUCUGCGAGCUGCAAAGGGAUGCAGCCAAAGGACGACCUGCGGAAUAUUUGUGCGCUCGAUCGGCGCCGCAAUCUCCCGAGCAAAGUUCACCUUUGCUGAAGAUCCAAGCGUAAGAAACUGAAGCAGCAGACGGCUUCAAGCCAUGAUCUGUGCGAAUCACCUUUAUGGGAGCUGCAAAAAAGAAUAAAAAGUGUAUCCCCAGUG